UACGUAGGUGGCAAGCGUUGUCCGGAAUUAUUGGGCGUAAAGGGCUCGCAGGCGGUUUCUUAAGUCUGAUGUGAAAGCCCCCGGCUCAACCGGGGAGGGUCAUUGGAAACUGGGAAACUUGAGUGCAGAAGAGGAGAGUGGAAUUCCAUGUGUAGCGGUGAAAUGCGUAGAUAUAUGGAGGAACACCGGUGGCGAAAGCGGCUCUCUGGACUGUCACUGACACUGAGGCUCGAAAGCGUGGGGAGCAAACAGG
Molecule: ribosomal RNA, 253 nt
Filed under: uncultured microorganism
Description: partial 16S ribosomal RNA
Rfam family: Bacterial small subunit ribosomal RNA
Source: RNAcentral